Molecule: ribosomal RNA, 497 nt
Filed under: uncultured bacterium
Lineage: Bacteria
Description: partial 16S ribosomal RNA
Rfam family: Bacterial small subunit ribosomal RNA
Source: RNAcentral
GAUGAACGCUGGCGGCGUGCCUAAUACAUGCAAGUCGAGCGAACGGACGAGAAGCUUGCUUUUCUGAUGUUAGCGGCGGACGGGUGAGUAACACGUGGAUAACCUACCUAUAAGAAUGGGAUAACUUCGGGAAACCGGAGCUAAUACCGGAUAAUAUUUUGAACCGCAUGGUUCAAAAGUGAAAGAAGGUCUUGCUGUCACUAAUAGCUGGAUCCGCGCUGCAUUAGCUAGUUGGUAAGGUAACGGCUUACCAAGGCAACGAUGCAUAGCCGACCUGAGAGGGUGAUCGGCCACACUGGAACUGAGACACGGUCCAGACUCCUACGGGAGGCAGCAGUAGGGAAUCUUCCGCAAUGGAGGAAUGCCUGACGUAGCAACGCCGCGUAAGUGAUGAUGGUCUUCGGAUCGUAAAACUCUGUUAUUAGGGAAGAACAUAUGUGUAAGUAACUGUGCUCAUCUUGACGGUACCUAAUCAGAAAGCCACGGCUAACUACGUG